GUUGUGAAAGCUUGAUAUAUACUAAAAGUGGAAUGAUACAGACAAGAUCAGCAUGGUCCCUGCACAAGGAUGACAUGCAAAAUCAUGAAGCAUUCCACAUUUUU
Small nuclear RNA from Schistocerca cancellata (South American locust), 104 nucleotides. NCBI's taxonomy places the organism in Eukaryota, Metazoa, Arthropoda, Insecta, Orthoptera, Acrididae. The record is from RefSeq and is a predicted model, not a curated record.